This 465-nucleotide ribosomal RNA is filed under the name Vreelandella stevensii. RNAcentral describes it as "partial 16S ribosomal RNA". It matches the Rfam family "Bacterial small subunit ribosomal RNA", at positions 338 to 795 of the family's 1533-position model. Lineage: Bacteria; Pseudomonadati; Pseudomonadota; Gammaproteobacteria; Oceanospirillales; Halomonadaceae. The record is from RNAcentral.
CCUACGGGCGGCAGCAGUGGGGAAUAUUGGACAAUGGGGGCAACCCUGAUCCAGUCAUGCCGCGUGUGUGAAGAAGGCCCUCGGGUUGUAAAGCACUUUCAGUGAGGAAGAACGCCUGGUGGUUAAUACCCAUCAGGAAAGACAUCACUCACAGAAGAAGCACCGGCUAACUCCGUGCCAGCAGCCGCGGUAAUACGGAGGGUGCGAGCGUUAAUCGGAAUUACUGGGCGUAAAGCGCGCGUAGGUGGCUUGAUAAGCCGGUUGUGAAAGCCCCGGGCUCAACCUGGGAACGGCAUCCGGAACUGUCAAGCUAGAGUGCAGGAGAGGAAGGUAGAAUUCCCGGUGUAGCGGUGAAAUGCGUAGAGAUCGGGAGGAAUACCAGUGGCGAAGGCGGCCUUCUGGACUGACACUGACACUGAGGUGCGAAAGCGUGGGUAGCAAACAGGAUUAGAUACCCUUGUAGUC